UCAUGAAUGUGAAUGUUGAUGUCUUAUUUCUCCAACAGGGUUAACGAUGAGACUAAGGAAGUGACUCCUGGUGCACAGAGUCCAGGACCUCCUCAGAUGAAUGGAGGACCUCCCAUGUCUAACAGAGCUGCAGAGGAGACCACUGCUCUAUUGCACAAAUAGGCCUUGGACAAGGACCAAGUCACCAAACCUCCUGAGUUAAUAGACAAAGGACCUAAUGACAUGGAAUCAAGAGGAGAACUGUAACAAACGAUGGACGUUUGUAUAGGAAAAGAAAACCUAAUAAGAUAUAAGAUACAGUAAUAUAUGAUAUACAGUACUUAUUAUAAGAUACACAUAUGUGACUAACUUCAUCAUAAUUAGUCUUGUCAACCCCAAGACACAUUCUGACCAGUGUGUUUUACUGCACAUUGAUUUUCAGAAGCCUCAAAAGUUUAAUAAGUUAAUUCUCUAUGUGACAAGUGUAGUCUGGAUAGGUUAGGAAACCUAAGUGAAAUCAGUUUAAGUGAAAUCAGUUGAAAUUCCAAAACAGCCCAAGACUUGUAGAAUUAUUAUUAUCUACAUUUUGUAUGACAAUCUGAAAAUGAGAGUGACUUGUGACUGAUUAUGAUACAGCAUGUCACAUAUUAGCUAUACAACAUUAUAAAGAUAUGAAAGGAUGGCAAGAUCAUACUUACGCUAGUAUUGUUUACUAUACAUACAAGCAAAUAUCAAUCACAUACACAUGGGAAGAUGCAUAAAACAUAAACCUCUUUAGUAGAGACAUUUCCAAGGUCCUGAGGUCUCAAUGUCUUGUGGACAUGUCAAAUAGCUAAACAUUGACCCAGUGUUAUUUACACUAUAUAUACAAAAGUAUGUGGACACCCCUUCAAAAGAAUGGUUUCGGCUGUUUCAGCCACACCCGUUGCUGACAGGUGUAUACCAUCGAGCACACCGCCAUGCGAUCUCCAUAGACAAACAUUGGCAGUACAAUGGCCUUACUGAAGAGCUCAGUGACAUUCAAUGUGGUACCGUCAUAGGAUGCCACCUUUCCAACAAGUCAGUUCAUAAAAUGUCUUCCCUGCUAGAGCUGCCCCGGUUAACUGUAAGUGCUGUUAUUGUGGAGCAACAACGGCUCAGCCGCGAUGUGGUAGGCCACACAAGCUCACAGAACAGGGCCGCCCAUGUGCUGAAGUGCGUAAAGUGUAAAAAUUGUCUGGCCCCUGGGUUUGGCACAUGCCAGGAAAAUGGUACCUGCCCCAGUGCAUAGUGCCAACUGUAAAGUUUUGUGGAGAAGCAAUAAUGGUAUGGGUCUGUUUUCAUGGUUCUGGCUAGGCCCCUUAGUUCCAGUGAAGGGAAAUCUUAACGCUACAGCAUACAAUGAUAUUCUAGAUUAUUCUGUGCUUCCAACUUUGUGGCAACAGUUUGGGGAUGGCCCUUUCCUGUUUCAGCAUGACAAUGCCCCUGUGCACAAAGCGAGGUCCAUACAGAAUUUUUUUUUCGAGAUCGGUGUGGAAGAACUUCACUGGCCUGCACAGAGCCCUGACCUCAAUCCCAUCAAAUACCUUUGGAACGCUGACUGUGAGCCAGGCCUAAUUGCCCAACAUCAGCGCCCGACCUCACUAAUGCUCUUGUGGCUGAAUGGAAGCAGGUCCCCUUAGCAAUGUUCCAACAUUUAGUGGAAAGCCUUCCCAGAAGAGUGGAGGCAGUUAUAGCAGCAAAGGGGGGACCAACUCCAUAAUAAUGCCCAUGAUUUUGGAUUGAGACGUUCAACGAGCAGGUGUCCACAUACUUUUGGUCAUAUUGUGUAGAAGAGACAUCAUUAUCACAGGGCCCAGUCUAAGAUGCUCUAUUUUACUGAAGAAAUGAUUCAUUAUUUCUGAAUUGAGUUACAGCAUGUUAGUUUUAAAAUAACUUGCAUAAUUUGUCCCAACUUCAGCAAAACAUUUCACAGACAUUUAACACACACCUGUAAUCCUACUUUCAGUAAAGAAAGUUGAUGUUCCAUUUUCCUUUAGAGACUAGAGUCCUCAAACUCAACUCUGGACCUCGAAACAA
Molecule: long non-coding RNA, 2037 nt
Organism: Salvelinus fontinalis (brook trout)
Lineage: Eukaryota; Metazoa; Chordata; Actinopteri; Salmoniformes; Salmonidae
Exons: 2
Source: RefSeq, a predicted model, not a curated record